UUAAUUUCAAAUCAAACAAGUUGAAGCUAACUCCCUAAAUUUAUAAAGAUCAAGGGGGACAACUUGACAAGUUUUUGUACUUCUUACUAUUUCCUUUGAGCAUGUAAACUGUACUGAACCAAAACAUGUAUUGAAUUUUUUCCUUUAUUUAGUUUUUUUUAAAUGUACUGUAUUUCAUGUUGUGUUUAUAUGUUCAAUAUAUAAAUCAAUUCUGACUGAAUACAAUGCAAACUCUCUCUCUCUUAAGUUCGAAAUGCCACAAAGAGUCAGCCCUCUUCAGGAAGCCAUUUGUCACAUUUCAUUCAGGACCGACAAAACAGGCAAAUUGUGUGUGAGGUACAUAAAUGCAGUCAAAGGAUGUGGAAUAUUUAUUUGCAAAGAGUACAAUCGGCAGCGGACAAU
Long non-coding RNA from Hippocampus comes (tiger tail seahorse), 402 nucleotides. RefSeq lists it as uncharacterized. The record is from RefSeq and is a predicted model, not a curated record. The transcript is spliced from 2 exons. Lineage: Eukaryota; Metazoa; Chordata; Actinopteri; Syngnathiformes; Syngnathidae.